RNAcentral lists this ribosomal RNA (2172 nucleotides) under Staphylococcus aureus. RNAcentral's name for it is "partial 23S ribosomal RNA". It matches the Rfam family "Bacterial large subunit ribosomal RNA", at positions 26 to 2196 of the family's 2925-position model. Lineage: Bacteria; Bacillati; Bacillota; Bacilli; Caryophanales; Staphylococcaceae. The record is from RNAcentral.
GGAUGCCUUGGCACUAGAAGCCGAUGAAGGACGUUACUAACGACGAUAUGCUUUGGGGAGCUGUAAGUAAGCUUUGAUCCAGAGAUUUCCGAAUGGGGAAACCCAGCAUGAGUUAUGUCAUGUUAUCGAUAUGUGAAUACAUAGCAUAUCAGAAGGCACACCCGGAGAACUGAAACAUCUUAGUAACCGGAGGAAGAGAAAGAAAAUUCGAUUCCCUUAGUAGCGGCGAGCGAAACGGGAAGAGCCCAAACCAACAAGCUUGCUUGUUGGGGUUGUAGGACACUCUAUACGGAGUUACAAAGGACGACAUUAGACGAAUCAUCUGGAAAGAUGAAUCAAAGAAGGUAAUAAUCCUGUAGUCGAAAAUGUUGUCUCUCUUGAGUGGAUCCUGAGUACGACGGAGCACGUGAAAUUCCGUCGGAAUCUGGGAGGACCAUCUCCUAAGGCUAAAUACUCUCUAGUGACCGAUAGUGAACCAGUACCGUGAGGGAAAGGUGAAAAGCACCCCGGAAGGGGAGUGAAAUAGAACCUGAAACCGUGUGCUUACAAGUAGUCAGAGCCCGUUAAUGGGUGAUGGCGUGCCUUUUGUAGAAUGAACCGGCGAGUUACGAUUUGAUGCAAGGUUAAGCAGUAAAUGUGGAGCCGUAGCGAAAGCGAGUCUGAAUAGGGCGUUUAGUAUUUGGUCGUAGACCCGAAACCAGGUGAUCUACCCUUGGUCAGGUUGAAGUUCAGGUAACACUGAAUGGAGGACCGAACCGACUUACGUUGAAAAGUGAGCGGAUGAACUGAGGGUAGCGGAGAAAUUCCAAUCGAACCUGGAGAUAGCUGGUUCUCUCCGAAAUAGCUUUAGGGCUAGCCUCAAGUGAUGAUUAUUGGAGGUAGAGCACUGUUUGGACGAGGGGCCCCUCUCGGGUUACCGAAUUCAGACAAACUCCGAAUGCCAAUUAAUUUAACUUGGGAGUCAGAACAUGGGUGAUAAGGUCCGUGUUCGAAAGGGAAACAGCCCAGACCACCAGCUAAGGUCCCAAAAUAUAUGUUAAGUGGAAAAGGAUGUGGCGUUGCCCAGACAACUAGGAUGUUGGCUUAGAAGCAGCCAUCAUUUAAAGAGUGCGUAAUAGCUCACUAGUCGAGUGACACUGCGCCGAAAAUGUACCGGGGCUAAACAUAUUACCGAAGCUGUGGAUUGUCCUUUGGACAAUGGUAGGAGAGCGUUCUAAGGGCGUUGAAGCAUGAUCGUAAGGACAUGUGGAGCGCUUAGAAGUGAGAAUGCCGGUGUGAGUAGCGAAAGACGGGUGAGAAUCCCGUCCACCGAUUGACUAAGGUUUCCAGAGGAAGGCUCGUCCGCUCUGGGUUAGUCGGGUCCUAAGCUGAGGCCGACAGGCGUAGGCGAUGGAUAACAGGUUGAUAUUCCUGUACCACCUAUAAUCGUUUUAAUCGAUGGGGGGACGCAGUAGGAUAGGCGAAGCGUGCGAUUGGAUUGCACGUCUAAGCAGUAAGGCUGAGUAUUAGGCAAAUCCGGUACUCGUUAAGGCUGAGCUGUGAUGGGGAGAAGACAUUGUGUCUUCGAGUCGUUGAUUUCACACUGCCGAGAAAAGCCUCUAGAUAGAAAAUAGGUGCCCGUACCGCAAACCGACACAGGUAGUCAAGAUGAGAAUUCUAAGGUGAGCGAGCGAACUCUCGUUAAGGAACUCGGCAAAAUGACCCCGUAACUUCGGGAGAAGGGGUGCUCUUUAGGGUUAACGCCCAGAAGAGCCGCAGUGAAUAGGCCCAAGCGACUGUUUAUCAAAAACACAGGUCUCUGCUAAACCGUAAGGUGAUGUAUAGGGGCUGACGCCUGCCCGGUGCUGGAAGGUUAAGAGGAGUGGUUAGCUUCUGCGAAGCUACGAAUCGAAGCCCCAGUAAACGGCGGCCGUAACUAUAACGGUCCUAAGGUAGCGAAAUUCCUUGUCGGGUAAGUUCCGACCCGCACGAAAGGCGUAACGAUUUGGGCACUGUCUCAACGAGAGACUCGGUGAAAUCAUAGUACCUGUGAAGAUGCAGGUUACCCGCGACAGGACGGAAAGACCCCGUGGAGCUUUACUGUAGCCUGAUAUUGAAAUUCGGCACAGCUUGUACAGGAUAGGUAGGAGCCUUUGAAACGUGAGCGCUAGCUUACGUGGAGGCGCUGGUGGG